UGGCUCUGGCAUCGAUGAAGAACGCAGCGAAAUGCGAUAAGUAAUGUGAAUUGCAGAAUUCAGUGAAUCAUCGAAUCUUUGAACGCACAUUGCGCCCGCCAGUAUUCUGGCGGGCAUGCCUGUUCGAGCGUCAUUUCAACCCUCAAGCCUCGCUUGGUGUUGGAGAUCAGCUGUACUGCUGUCUCUGAAAUACAGUGGCGGUCUCGCCGUAGCUUCCUCUGCGUAGUAAUUCGUUCUCGCUCUGGAGCUCGGUGCGGCCACGCCGUAAAACCCCCCAAACUUUUUAAGGUUGACCUCGAAUCAGGUAGGAAUACCCGCUGA
This 321-nucleotide unclassified non-coding RNA is filed under the name uncultured fungus. Its description in RNAcentral is "partial contains 5.8S ribosomal RNA and internal transcribed spacer 2". The stretch from base 1 to 133 matches the Rfam family "5.8S ribosomal RNA", at positions 22 to 154 of the family's 154-position model. Lineage: Eukaryota; Fungi. The record is from RNAcentral.